GACGAACCGUGCGAACGUUGUUCGGAAUCACUGGGCUUAAAGGGCGCGUAGGCGGGCCUCCCAGUCCGGGGUGAAAGCUUUCGGCUUAACCGGAAAAGUGCCUUGGAUACUGGAGGUCUGGAGGGAGGUAGGGGCAAUCGGAACUUCCGGUGGAGCGGUGAAAUGCGUUGAUAUCGGAAGGAACGCCGGUGGCGAAAGCGGAUUGCUGGACCUUUUCUGACGCUGAGGCGCGAAAGCCAGGGGAG
This 245-nucleotide ribosomal RNA is filed under the name uncultured bacterium. RNAcentral's name for it is "partial 16S ribosomal RNA". It matches the Rfam family "Bacterial small subunit ribosomal RNA", at positions 524 to 768 of the family's 1533-position model. The record is from RNAcentral.